GUGAGUCCCAGGUCUGGAAGGGAUGGUGGGAGGUGAGAAUUAAAUGUGUAAAUAUUAAUGAUUAUGUACAUUACCUUGUUAGUUUGGGUGAGUAUAUGUCUAUAUAACCACUACUAUCACAUAUAUAUAAAAACACAGAAGGGAGAGGUUUUGCUUUAUUGAAUAACUUUAAGACUUACCAAAUAAUGUUCAAUAUUAAUUGAGCUCAAAAUAGAAAUUGAAUAGUGAGUCCCAGGUCUAAAAACAAACAACAAAAGUUGUGGGACCAAGUCAUUCCUCCAAUUACCAGCCAGUUCUCAAUCUAUGGUGUCCCACACACAUGAGUUCAACUGUUCCAUUAGCUCAGGUGGCAGCAGGAUUCGAAAAACUGAGGACAGGGUGAGUCAGAAGGGUCACAUCUGUGCAAAGCAGUAGACUCAGGCAGCCACACCAGACUUCCAGGAGUCGCAUGGGAAGAUGUCUCCCUACUCUGCCCUCCUAGAACUAUAUAGUUGUAGGAAAAGAAGGGAGAUUCUGUCUACCACCAUGACAAUUCAUAUAAACAUUUAUUUCAAGAGUAUGGAAACACCAGUGGGGAUGAAGGGAUUGCUGAUUUAUACGCGAUGAUUAUAAACUCAUGAGGAAAAAGUUUAUAGUCACUGUUAGGAAGAUUUCUCUGUCAAAUAAAUAAUUUAUUCAGAAAUGCUAUAAAGAAAUGCCAGGAAGACAGCUGCCUAGAAGGAUAACUUGGAUUGAUGCUUGGGUCAAGGGACUUUGAAAAUGUCAUGGGUACUGGAGUUGAGUUGUUUUAUUCCAUGUGAAAUGUGUCACACCAAGGGAUAUAAAUAAUUUUUAUAACUCUGAAAAAAAAUACAGAAACACCACAAACUUGAUAAUUGCCAUUUCCUAGGUAGAUCUGGAAGGGCCUAAAUGUUAAGGUUGGUGUGAAUUGACAGAGUCAAGUGGCCCAGUAUGAGACGGUCAGCCACACUCUGGGAUAAAAAAAUGUUUCUCUACUGGGUUCAGCUUGUCUCUAUGUAUAUAUGAACAUUUUAUUCAGCAAUUAAAACAUCCAUGAUUCAUAGAUUGUUAAAACUAAACAUUCUAACAGCUGUAUCAGUGCUUCAUAAUAUUUUAAAAAUGAAAAUAUUCUCUAUGCAUUAAGUCCAUCGAUAUUCACCAUUUGAAUUUCUGGAAAAAUAAUAAACUUUGUUUAUAAGUAACACAUAAUGUAACAUUAAGCUAUGCUCUGGUUCCCCUGAACUUUACUGUACCUUCGUAUUUUUAGACUCAAGUACUGAUAAUAAAGAGUGCAUUAACUGUU
RNAcentral lists this long non-coding RNA (1303 nucleotides) under Mus musculus (house mouse). RNAcentral's name for it is "long non-coding RNA chr19:34575220-34576523". The record is from RNAcentral. Lineage: Eukaryota; Metazoa; Chordata; Mammalia; Rodentia; Muridae.